GUAGGGUUGUUGUGAUGCGUGCCUAUAGUCCCAGCUACUCAGGAGGCUGAAGCGGAAGGAUGUCUAUAGCUCAAGUGUUCUGGGCUGUGGUGUACUCUGCUGGUUGGGUGUCUGCACUAAUUUAAUAUGGUGGCCUCCCGGGAGUCUGACACCAACAGGUUGCCUAAGGAGAGUCAAACUGGCAAACUGGCACAGGUCAGAAAUAGAGCAGAUCAAAACUCCUAUGCUGAUCAGCAGUGGAAUCAUGCCUAUGAAUGGCCACUGCACUUUAGUCUGGGCAACAUAGCAAGACCCAUUUCU
Molecule: unclassified non-coding RNA, 300 nt
Organism: Aotus nancymaae (Ma's night monkey)
Lineage: Eukaryota; Metazoa; Chordata; Mammalia; Primates; Aotidae
Rfam family: Metazoan signal recognition particle RNA
About the family: The signal recognition particle (SRP) is a universally conserved ribonucleoprotein. It is involved in the co-translational targeting of proteins to membranes. The eukaryotic SRP consists of a 300-nucleotide 7S RNA and six proteins: SRPs 72, 68, 54, 19, 14, and 9.
Source: Ensembl